AGUGGGAUAACUGGGUCAAAUGGUGCUUCCAUUCCCAGUUUUCUGAGGAAUCUCCAUAUUGCUUUCCAUAGUGGUUGCACCAAUUUGCAGUCCCACCAGCAGU
RNAcentral lists this microRNA precursor (103 nucleotides) under Marmota monax (woodchuck). The record is from RNAcentral. Lineage: Eukaryota; Metazoa; Chordata; Mammalia; Rodentia; Sciuridae.